GAUGAAGAACGUAGUGAAAUGCGAUAAGUAUUGUGAAUUGCAGAAUCCAGUGAAUCAUCGAAUCUUUGAACGCACAUUGCGCCCGCCAGCAUUCUGGCGGGCAUGCCUGUUCGAGCGUCAUUUCAACCCUCGACCUCCCUUUGGGGAAGUCGGCGUUGGGGACCGGCAGCACACCGCCGGCCCUGAAAUGGAGUGGCGGCCCGUCCGCGGCGACCUCUGCGUAGUAAACCAACUCGCACCGGAACCCCGACGUGGCCACGCCGUAAAACACCCAACUUCUGAACGUUGACCUCGAAUCAGGUAGGACUACCCGCUGAACUUAAGCAUAUCAAUAAGCGGAGAA
Molecule: unclassified non-coding RNA, 343 nt
Filed under: soil metagenome
Description: partial contains 5.8S ribosomal RNA, internal transcribed spacer 2, and large subunit ribosomal RNA
Rfam family: 5.8S ribosomal RNA (bases 1-120)
Source: RNAcentral